AUUGAACGCUGGCGGCAGGCCUAACUCAUGCAAGUCGAACGGUAACAGGAAGCUGCUUGCUGCUUUGCUGACGAGUGGCGGACGGGUGAGCAAUGUCUGGGAAACUGCCCGAUGGAGGGGGUUAACUACUGGAAACGGUAGCUAAUACCGCAUAACGUCGCAAGAUCAAAGAGGUGGACCUUAGGGCCUCUCGCCAUCGGCUGUGCCCAGUUGGGAUUGGCAUGAGGUGGGGUAAUGGCUCACCUAGGCGACGAUCCGUAUCUGGUCUGAGAGGAUGACCAGCCACACUGGAACUGAGACACGGUCCAGACUCCUACGGGAGGCAGCAGUGGGGAAUAUUGCACAAUGGGCGCAAGCCUGAUGCAGCCAUGCCGCGUGUAUGAAGAAGGCCUUCGGGUUGUAAAGUACUUUAAGCGGGGAGGAAGGGAGUAAAGUUAAUACCUUGGCUCAUUGACGUUACCCGCAGAAGAAGCACCGGCUAACUCCGUG
Molecule: ribosomal RNA, 489 nt
Filed under: uncultured bacterium
Lineage: Bacteria
Description: partial 16S ribosomal RNA
Rfam family: Bacterial small subunit ribosomal RNA
Source: RNAcentral